CAGCCGGCAGCCCCGGUUCCUGACUGCCCGGCUGUGCUCCUUGUGGGCGGCCCGAACCACCUCGAGCUGGACAAUGGCCAAACCCACCCGGAGCGGUAGCACGGAGCCGGGGCUCGGGAGGGGUAGCCCUCCGUGAGCUGUCCCAUCGAAACCGGUUGCAACUUUCGCCAGUCUAGACCCCAGGCGACAAUGUCUGCACGUGACCCAGCCACCGAGGACUUUCUUUGAUGCCAGGUACCCUGGUUCUGAGGAGAUCAGAGUUCAGCGGAGCUCAUGUUUAUGUAUGAUCUGGACACUCUCGUCUUGCCAACUACUGUUAUCACAAAGCUAUGCCUUAAUGGCUUUUUUGAGCCAACGCCUCUCUAACAGUGACAUCAGGGUAAAUUUGCUUCCGUGGCCUGAGUCCAGAACACACCCUAGUGUUCUCUGGAGAGAAGCAGAGUCACGGAAGGAAGAGAUUUUGUAAUGUGGACAGUGUUCAGUGUUCAUCGCUGAGGAAUUGAGCGUCAGUUUGCAUUCGUCACGGGCAGAAGGCCCCGCAGCUGGUGGAAGGCCAGCAGCAGUGUAAAGGUAAGACUGAAUGGUGAGACUUCCUGGGAUGGAGGAGGUAGGGAAAUUAAAGGAAGCUUCCUGAGGUUAUGCCCCUUUGCUCCCUGUGUUCAUUUUCUGGAGCUGCCAUAACAAAAUACACAGCCUGGUUGGCUUGAACAACAGAAAUGUAUUGUCUUACA
This 731-nucleotide long non-coding RNA is filed under the name Aotus nancymaae (Ma's night monkey). Its description in RNAcentral is "lncRNA (ENSANAG00000039496.1)". The record is from RNAcentral. Lineage: Eukaryota; Metazoa; Chordata; Mammalia; Primates; Aotidae.